UCCUGGAUUCAGCGGCGGACGGGUGAGUAAUGCCUAGGAAUCUGCCUGGUAGUGGGGGACAACGUUUCGAAAGGAACGCUAAUACCGCAUACGUCCUACGGGAGAAAGCAGGGGACCUUCGGGCCUUGCGCUAUCAGAUGAGCCUAGGUCGGAUUAGCUAGUUGGUGAGGUAAUGGCUCACCAAGGCGACGAUCCGUAACUGGUCUGAGAGGAUGAUCAGUCACACUGGAACUGAGACACGGUCCAGACUCCUACGGGAGGCAGCAGUGGGGAAUAUUGGACAAUGGGCGAAAGCCUGAUCCAGCCAUGCCGCGUGUGUGAAGAAGGUCUUCGGAUUGUAAAGCACUUUAAGUUGGGAGGAAGGGUUGUAGAUUAAUACUCUGCAAUUUUGACGUUACCGACAGAAUAAGCACCGGCUAACUCUGUGCCAGCAGCCGCGGUAAUACAGAGGGUGCAAGCGUUAAUCGGAAUUACUGGGCGUAAAGCGCGCGUAGGUGGUUUGUUAAGUUGGAUGUGAAAUCCCCGGGCUCAACCUGGGAACUGCAUCCAAAACUGGCAAGCUAGAGUAUGGUAGAGGGUGGUGGAAUUUCCUGUGUAGCGGUGAAAUGCGUAGAUAUAGGAAGGAACACCAGUGGCGAAGGCGACCACCUGGACUGAUACUGACACUGAGGUGCGAAAGCGUGGGGAGCAAACAGGAUUAGAUACCCUGGUAGUCCACGCCGUAAACGAUGUCAACUAGCCGUUGGGAGCCUUGAGCUCUUAGUGGCGCAGCUAACGCAUUAAGUUGACCGCCUGGGGAGUACGGCCGCAAGGUUAAAACUCAAAUGAAUUGACGGGGGCCCGCACAAGC
RNAcentral lists this ribosomal RNA (850 nucleotides) under Pseudomonas sp. MY-CA28. Its description in RNAcentral is "bacterial SSU rRNA". It matches the Rfam family "Bacterial small subunit ribosomal RNA", at positions 84 to 930 of the family's 1533-position model. Lineage: Bacteria; Pseudomonadati; Pseudomonadota; Gammaproteobacteria; Pseudomonadales; Pseudomonadaceae. The record is from RNAcentral.